GAGCAGCAAUUUCGGCAGCAGUCAAUGCCAAA
This 32-nucleotide non-coding RNA is filed under the name Geobacter sulfurreducens KN400. Lineage: Bacteria; Pseudomonadati; Thermodesulfobacteriota; Desulfuromonadia; Geobacterales; Geobacteraceae. The record is from RNAcentral.